RNAcentral lists this ribosomal RNA (473 nucleotides) under uncultured bacterium. Its description in RNAcentral is "partial 16S ribosomal RNA". It matches the Rfam family "Bacterial small subunit ribosomal RNA", at positions 355 to 819 of the family's 1533-position model. The record is from RNAcentral.
UGGGGAAUUUUGGACAAUGGGCGAAAGCCUGAUCCAGCAAUGCCGCGUGUGUGAAGAAGGCCUUCGGGUUGUAAAGCACUUUUGUCCGGAAAGAAAUCCUUGGCUCUAAUACAGUCGGGGGAUGACGGUACCGGAAGAAUAAGCACCGGCUAACUACGUGCCAGCAGCCGCGGUAAUACGUAGGGUGCAAGCGUUAAUCGGAAUUACUGGGCGUAAAGCGUGCGCAGGCGGUUUGCUAAGACCGAUGUGAAAUCCCCGGGCUCAACCUGGGAACUGCAUUGGUGACUGGCAGGCUAGAGUAUGGCAGAGGGGGGUAGAAUUCCACGUGUGAGCAGUGAAAUGCGUAGAGAUGUGGAGGAAUACCGAUGGCGAAGGCAGCCCCCUGGGCCAAUACUGACGCUCAUGCACGAAAGCGUGGGGAGCAAACAGGAUUAGAUACCCUGGUAGUCCACGCCCUAAACGAUGUCAACUAG